Molecule: unclassified non-coding RNA, 362 nt
Filed under: fungal sp.
Lineage: Eukaryota; Fungi
Description: partial internal transcribed spacer region
Rfam family: Eukaryotic small subunit ribosomal RNA (bases 1-46)
Source: RNAcentral
AAGUCGUAACAAGGUUUCCGUAGGUGAACCUGCGGAAGGAUCAUUACUGUAGUUAGUGGUUCGCUUCUACGGCUGUUGGUCUUGGCGUUAGUCCAUUCCAGCGAAGUAGUUUCGAAACUAUAUACCACUACUCACCACUUGUGCACUCGUUAUUGUCUCUGGUAGGAUCACCUAACCGUGCCGUUUGUUACUGUUGUCGUUAGUUUUUUUAACUUUCGCGACUAACAGGCCGCCGGUUACGGCCCUACCGCCUUACUUUAACUAACCAUGUCUUUAAACCAUUGACUUAAACAAACAUCGUUGAGGUCGAAAGGCUUCAAUUAAUAACGAUACAACUUUUGGCAACGGAUCUCUUGGCUCUC